RNAcentral lists this unclassified non-coding RNA (207 nucleotides) under Hevea brasiliensis (rubber tree). Lineage: Eukaryota; Viridiplantae; Streptophyta; Magnoliopsida; Malpighiales; Euphorbiaceae. The record is from RNAcentral.
GGGCUGGCUUGUAUGCACAAUAAUCCGAUGAAUUAACAUAAGUUAUAAACUUCACAAGUAAAUUGAUUUUAGCAGGAUAAACUGACAAGCUUAAAAAGGAAAAAAUGUGCAAACGAACUCAAAUAACUAUUCCCAUCCUCUUAGAAAACUUCAGUUUAUAUUCAGUCUUUCAUUUCAAACAGAAAAUGCUGCUUUCCAGAGCAAAUC